RNAcentral lists this ribosomal RNA (514 nucleotides) under Absidia lobata. RNAcentral's name for it is "Absidia sp. HZ-2022b partial large subunit ribosomal RNA". It matches the Rfam family "Eukaryotic large subunit ribosomal RNA", at positions 221 to 637 of the family's 3401-position model. Lineage: Eukaryota; Fungi; Mucoromycota; Mucoromycetes; Mucorales; Cunninghamellaceae. The record is from RNAcentral.
CCGUCUUUGGCCAGAGCUCAGUCAUACGUUUGCUUCGCUGCGAAGAGUCAGGUUGUUUGGGAAUGCAGCCUAAAAUGGGAGGUAGACUUCUCCUAAAGCUAAAUAUUGACGAAAGACCGAUAGCGAACAAGUACCGUGAGGGAAAGAUGAAAAGCACUUUGAAAAGAGGGUCAAAAAGUACGUGAAAUUGCUGAAAGGGAACCGUAUGAAAUCAGUCUGAUGUAUGGGUAAUCAGCCUGGGCUUUGGCCUGGGUGCACUUGCCCAUGUAUUAGCCUGCGACAGUUUGACUUGGGGGAAAAAAGGUGGGGGAAUGUGGCCUCGGCUUCGGUCGUGGUGUUAUAGCCCCUGUCAAAAUACCCUGGGUUGGACUGAGGACUGCAGCGAGCCGUAAGGCAAAAGGUCUCUGGCGCUUUGUCUGGGCAAAAAGUAAAUCUCUGCUUCGGGUGGUGUGCUUUUUGUUCGGGUGAACACGCUGGUUUCUCUUUUUUCUCGCUUAGGUCGUAGGCAUAAUGA